GAAAAAUAUUAAACUACCAUAAAAUCAACACAUAGUUUCAAUUUCAAACCCAGGAAAAUAAAUUGAAACUAUCAAAAGAGAAACUUGAGCUGGCUAAUCACAAUUCACAACCCUUUAAUAUGAAUUUACGUAUAUCUUUCUCACUUAAUCAAAAUUUAACAAUUAUAAUUUAGAUUAUGAACAACAAAAUCAAUAAUCAAAGCAACGAACAUCAUUGAAAAAAAAAAUUCUGAAACA
This 237-nucleotide unclassified non-coding RNA is filed under the name Hevea brasiliensis (rubber tree). Lineage: Eukaryota; Viridiplantae; Streptophyta; Magnoliopsida; Malpighiales; Euphorbiaceae. The record is from RNAcentral.